Oncorhynchus tshawytscha (Chinook salmon) is the source of this 1440-nucleotide long non-coding RNA. The record is from Ensembl. Lineage: Eukaryota; Metazoa; Chordata; Actinopteri; Salmoniformes; Salmonidae.
UGUGUGUGUGUGUGUGUGUGUGUGUGUGUGUGUGUGUGUGUGUGUGUAUAAAAGAGUGCUGGUGUGUGAGGCGAGCGUUCUACAGUUGAUAGCUUGACAGGGAGGAUGUACCGCUCCCGUGUGUCUCCGUAUGGCCAGGGCAGUAUGGAGAGACAUCAUCACCAUGUGGUCCUACACGGUGUUUGUAUCGCUCUGGCCAUGUUUAGCCAGGUGGCUUCCGAGACCUUCCAUGUUCUAGCAUCAGGGACCAACUCUGGCGGUCUGUUUAUGACCACAUUGGAUAAUGUCUCUGAGUCCUUUCCUCUGGAGGUGACCAUGGACUGCUGGGCAGACAACACCUGGAUCAUGCUUCGGCUAUGGAGCAGUGCUUGGCUCAUACACUCUCUUUUUACUGUGUUCCAGAGGAACGUGUUUGGUCCAGUCUCCUGCAACCCUGAGAUUCACCCUCCAUCAUUCUAUCUGAUCUGGACUAUGAUCAACGUGGCAAAGAUCACCUGGCUGUUUCUUUGGGACAGGCAUGACCUUCUACCAUCCCUGUUUUUUAAAUGGGUUAUGCCAAUUCACAGCUUCCAAAUGCUGUAUGUGUCCUACCGAAACCUGCACAAUCACAGAACCUGGCUGGCCAUCAAUAACCCUAAAGAACCCUGGUGGACCCGCUAUCUGACCCAGAACGGACUGGCUGUAUUUGGCUGGUGGACUCUCCUGGAGGCCCUGGUCAGUCUGGGAGUUGUGCUGCGGUACCAGGCUGGGCUACCUGAUCCUCUGGUCAGCUCAAUGGUGCUCACUCUACUUCUCCUAGGGAUGCUGAUCUGGUUUGUCUUUGAGAGCUUCAUAUUCUCCAAGUACAUCCGCUACACAUUUACUGUCUUCCCUGUGUUGGUUGUGGGCCUGGGAGCCAUGUUCACCAGAAGCUAUCGUGUCCAUGACCUUGCUCCUAACACAGUCUACUGUGGCUUCCUUAUGCUUGCGGCAACUGUCCUGAACUGUAUCCGUUUGAUCGCUGCAUGCUUUUACCCAGAUGACACCUCCAGCUAUUUGACCAAGGAGCCCAACCGUAAACCUGACUUCUGCAAGACUGUAUUUCAACCGAUGGGGAAGGACAGCACAAUGGCUUCACAAACUGGGUUUGUGAAUCCUGUCUUCUGUAAUAACUUAGACAAUUAACAGAGGGUACGGUGUCCAUAUUAGGACAGAAACGACUCCUGUUGAGGAUUUACCCAAAGUGAAUUGUUUUGCAUGUAAAUAAUUUUGAUACUGAUUAAUGGUAUUUUCUGUAAGAAUGGACAUUGUUCUCUUGGUGAUGGAUAGCUACAGCUUGAGUUAACUCUAAGCUUAGAGUGUUGACAUGCCUUCACAUUCAUCACAAACAAAUAGAUUCCAAACAGUGGCUUAACAAUUCAGAAUGUUGAAUAAACUUUAUUUGAUCUCACUUUACCGGUU